CAGGCCUAACACAUGCAAGUCGAACGCUGAAGCCUAGCUUUUGUUGGGUGGAUGAGUGGCGAACGGGUGAGUAACACGUGAGUAACCUGCCCCCUUCUUUGGGAUAACGCCCGGAAACGGGUGCUAAUACUGGAUAUUCACUGAUCUUCGCAAGGGGGUUGGUGGAAAGGUUUUUUCUGGUGGGGGAUGGGCUCGCGGCCUAUCAGCUUGUUGGUGGGGUGAUGGCCUACCAAGGCUUUGACGGGUAGCCGGCCUGAGAGGGUGACCGGUCACAUUGGGACUGAGAUACGGCCCAGACUCCUACGGGGGGCAGCAGUGGGGAAUAUUGCACAAUGGGCGAAAGCCUGAUGCAGCGACGCCGCGUGAGGGAUGGAGGCCUUCGGGUUGUAAACCUCUUUCGCUCAUGGUCAAGCCGCAACAUUGGUUGUGGUGAGGGUAGUGGGUAAAGAAGCGCCGGCUAACUACGUGCCAGCAGCCGCGGUAAUACGUAGGGCGCGAGCGUUGUCCGGAAUUAUUGGGCGUAAAGGGCUUGUAGGCGGUUGGUCGCGUCUGCCGUGAAAUCCUCUGGCUUAACUGGGGGCGUGCGGUGGGUACGGGCUGACUUGAGUGCGGUAGGGGAGACUGGAACUCCUGGUGUAGCGGUGGAAUGCGCAGAUAUCAGGAAGAACACCGGUGGCGAAGGCGGGUCUCUGGGCCGUUACUGACGCUGAGGAGCGAAAGCGUGGGGAGCGAACAGGAUUAGAUACCCUG
RNAcentral lists this ribosomal RNA (750 nucleotides) under uncultured bacterium. Its description in RNAcentral is "bacterial SSU rRNA". It matches the Rfam family "Bacterial small subunit ribosomal RNA", at positions 43 to 789 of the family's 1533-position model. The record is from RNAcentral.